Molecule: long non-coding RNA, 5859 nt
Filed under: Erythranthe guttata (spotted monkey flower)
Lineage: Eukaryota; Viridiplantae; Streptophyta; Magnoliopsida; Lamiales; Phrymaceae
Description: long non-coding RNA (EGUT_LNC002213)
Source: RNAcentral
GGCACGGCCGCGCGAAAAUCAGUGCAAUUCUCACACGGCCGCGCGAGAAUCGCCGAAACCUUCUGCCCAAUUUCUGCUAUUGGCACGGCCGUCCCAUUGUUAGGUGUAAAUUUGGGACGGCCGUCCCGUGCCAAUUUCUUCAGAUUUUUGAUUAUUUCACUUUUGGCCCAUAUUUUCUCCAAAAUUGCAGUUUUGACCCCAAAUUUUUCCAAUUCUUCAAUUUAUACCUAAAAUACAAUAAAUAAACUUUUUAAGCACCAAUUAUCGUUAAAUCACACCAAAAGCUCAAAUAAAAAGGUACGAUAAAGUAUAAAAAUAUAUACUUAACACACCCCCAAACUUGAUCUUUUGUUUGUCCUCAAGCAAAAACUAGCAACUUUCACAGCAACACUCUCAAUAAAUGCCUCUCAUCACAUAGAUUAAUGGUCAACUUUCAUUUUUUCAGAACUUGCAAUUAUCAUGACAAUUCUCAAAAAUUUACAAGCUCGUAAUUCAAAGAUACGUAUUCACUCACCAUUGCUAAAAACCACAAACCAUGCUAUCGCUUCAAGUAUCCCAUAUUUGUACAUUAAAAAUAGAGAAAAUUUAUACUUACAUAAUAAUAUUCAACUCCAAAGACUCACCAAAUUUCUUUACUCGGCUAGUAUCAAAUAAUUGAGCUAUUGGGAUCAUUGGGACUUUUUGGCUUUCAAACGUUGGGCUUUUUGGUUCGAGGUAGGAGAUAUGGGUAUAGGUGGCUAUGCUUCUUGAAUUGAGGUGAUUACGCCAAAUUUUGAAAGAUAGGCGUUUGAAACAAUAAAUUCACCUCUAAGGACUUUUUAAUCAACUCGAUUCUUAAGAGUUCAAAAGUCUCCACUUUUGCUCUUAACACAAUGGAUCGAGCUUUCAAAACAAUUCAACAACUAGUCCUUACUUCCCCUUAUAGUCUCUUCUACUUCUUUUUCUUUCUCCUUUUUUUUUUUUUUUUUUUUUUCGAAGAAGAAGGACCUUAUAAAAAAAUUUCGACCGAACUCCAAGGGUUAAUUUUUCAAAAAUCUCCACUUAUUCUACCUUAUACACAUUGGCUAAAAGAAAGAACACCGUUUCUCCAAGGCUCAAUCAAGGUUCGAAUGAUAAAAAUUUAAAGGUAGGCUUGAAAGGCUCAAACGGUUCAAAGAUGGCCCAAAUCACUUCCCAAAUUGCUCAACAAUUUAAUAUUUCACUUUGUAAAUUCAUAAGACAAGUUCUAAAACCGAAUAGCAUAUGGUAUAACAUAAAUUAACUCAAAUUUUAAAACACACAAAACUUUCAACCAAAGCAACGCAUAAUUCGAGAUUCCUAACAAUAACUCCUUCUUACGACACUUUGAAUCAAAAGCUCACCAAAAUUUGAUCAAAAUCAAGAUAAAGCAAGCAAUUUCAUCAUUAAACAUCGACCAUCUUUCAUCAUCAUGAUUCAUCGAAGCAUUUAUCUCAAACACAUUUUUUUUUUCGAAAGCAAUAAAUAAACUAAAACAACUAAAAUAAAAAAAAAUCCUAAGGCAUGCAAACUAAAAAAUUAAAGCACAUAAAAACAAGCACAAUUUUUCACCCCCAAACUUAAAAUUUACAUUGCCCUCAAUGUAAUUAGCAUGAAUUUCAAGGAUAGAAUACACCUGAAUAAGUCGUUUUGGCCAUGUCCGGGCUGCUCUUCCACCCUCGCCUUUAUUAUGCUUCUGUUGAAGUUCGCACGGCCGUAUGAGAUUUUUGAACUGUUUUCCGCACGGCCGUGCGAAACUUGAAUUCUGGGCAGUAGCCUAUUGUUUCUCGGACGGUCGUGCGAGAAUUCAGUGUAAAUUCCGCACGGCCGCGCCCCUUCUCAAUUUUGGGCAGUAGCCUCUCCGAUUUUCCACACGGCCGUGCUGGAUUCAAGCCUUUUUUUUGUGCGGCCGUGUGAAGUGCGAAAUUGCACUUUGACCCCUGAAAAUAAAAAAAAUGCUUAUUUAAUUAGCUUGCAUGCUUAUAAAAUAAAUAAAUAAAUAAAAUAAAACAAGAAACAUAAAUAAAUAAAUAAAAACGAAAAUCUCGGGUUGCCUCCCGAGAAGCGCUAAGUUUAUAGUCUUCAGCCAUACUUUGUUCUUGCUCUUCAAUUCCUUAGCUUUUGAACCCAUCUCCGUACAUCCUUUUGGAGAAAGUCUUGAAUAAAUGGGUUGAUCCGAUUCCUCUUUCGACUGGUUCGCUUAGGAAUGCCCUUGAAUUUAUUCUUCUUGAUGUCAUGAGGCUUUCCAACAUCGUCUUUUAUCACGGUGUUUUGAGUUGGUGUUGUAACCAACUCAACCUUUUUCUUUUGUUCUCCUACAUGCAUAUUAGUAUCCACAAAAAAAUUUAAAUCAUGUAAUUUAACAGGAAAAAGUUUAGAAUCACUUACCUCAUCAAGAAGAUAACAUCCAUUAGCCGUAAUAGGCUUUUCAUCCACCCGGUACACCUUGAAGAUCACUGUUUCUUCCCCCACACUCAUUCUUAGCUCUCUCUUUCCUACAUCAAUAAUUGAUCUACCGGUUGCUAAGAAGGGGCGUCCUAAGAUAAGGGGAAUAUUUUCAUCUUCCUCUAUGUCUAGUACUAGAAAAUCGGCCGGGAGUAUGAACUUAUCUACCUUGACCAAUACAUCUUCAACUAUACCUAAAGGGUGAGUAAAAGAUCUAUCGGCUAGCUGCAAGGUCACGGAAGUGGGCUUAAUCUCUCCUAAAUUCAACUUCUCAUAAAUUGAUAAAGGCAUUAAAUUUACGCUCGCCCCUUGAUCACACAACGCCCGCCCAAAAUACCUAGUACCUAUUGUGCAUGGAAUGGUACAACUGCCCGGGUCUCUAAGCUUUGGUGGAAUUUUAUUUGCAAGGAUAGCACUACUUUGCUCAUUGAGGUCUACGAUUGCUGCACACUCCGGAAGCCUCAUCUUCUUCGAUACAAGUUCCUUUAUAAACUUAACCUAAUUCGGCAUAUGCUUAAGUGCCUCAACAAAAGGAAUAUUAACAUGCAACUUUUUAAGAUAAUCCAAAAAUGACUGAAAUUGCAUAUCAAGCUUAGAGUUUUGAAAACGUUGAGGGAAAGGUACCUUGGGAGUAGAUUCACUUACUGCGAUCUUUGUGUUGCUUGGCCCGACCUCGGUCUUUUCUUUAGGCUCCUCUUCAAUAGGCGGUGGUGCAACGGAGUUUUUAGGACCUUCCUCUAAUUGCCUCCCAUUUCGCAAACUUACUGCAUUGCACUGCUCGAUGUUGCUCUUUCGAGGAUCUUCCGUUUUCGACGGUAGUGAUCCCGACGGCCUCGCGUUUAGUUGGGUUGCAAGUUGCCCCAUUUUUCUCUCCAGGUUCCGAAUGGAUUCUUGAGUCGACGUCAUGAAUUUUUCUAAGAUGUCAGCGAGGUCAACUCCUUGGGCCGGAGUUUGAGGUGGAUUUUGCCUUUGUCCUUGCUGAUUUCCUCCCCAUCCAAAGUUGGGGUGAUCUUUCCAUCCCGGAUUAUAGGUGUUGGAGUACGGGUUCCUUUGUUGUCGGUUGGUGUCAUUCACGUAAUUUAGAGACUCCGUUUCUUCUAAGCACUGGUUGGGACCGUUGAUUGCAUGGACUUGCUGAGUCUGCAAAGCUGCCACUUGCUUUGAUAGCUUUUCUAACCGGGCGGUGAUUGCUGUGACCCCGUCUAACUCCAAAAUUCCUCCCGUCUUGACAACUCCGCUAUUUGACCGGUCCGAUGCCCGUAUGUAUUUGUUCCUUGCGAUUCGCUCCAAAAGUUCGUAGGCUUCGUCAUAGGUCAAGCUCAUGAACAUACCGCCAGCUGCUGAAUCGAGCACCGUUCUCGAAUUAUCUUGCAAUCCAUCAUAAAAUAUUUGAAGUUGCCGCCACUCUUGAAGUCCGUGAUUCGGGCACCUCCUUACUAGCUGCUUGAACCGCUCCCACGUCUCGAAUAAUGCUUCACCGGCUUCUUGUAUGAAGUUUUGAAUUUCUCUCCGGAUUCUCUCAGUUUUUGUUGGGGAGUUGUAUGCGUUCAUGAAAAGUUGUGCUAGCUGGGCCCAAGACGAGAUGGAGUGCGGUGCGCGAGUUUGUAACCAUUCUCGGGCUGCUCCUUGUAAAGAGUGCUUGAACAGGCGGAGUUGCAGUGCUUCGGGCGAUACUCCGUUCAUGUUGUGCGAGUCGCACGUCUCGAGAAAAUUGACCAAGUGGAGAUGUGGAUCUUCGUGAGCUAAUCCGCUUAACAACCCAUUGUUUUGGAGCAUAGUAAGGAGUCCCACUCGAAUUUCGAAAUUGUUAGCUUCAAUGGGGGGCUGCUGGAUGCUUGAUUGAAACCCAUUGAGUGUUGGAACGGUGUACUCAUGCAAUGCUCGUUGACGAGGUGGUGGAUUAAUUAGCUGAAGUUGCUCUUGCUAGUUGACGAUAUUUCCUGCCGCAUUCGGUAGGCGCCCUUGGUCAUCUCCCCUACAAUUAUUCUCUUCUUCCAUUAUCGCAUAAAAAGUAGCUAAAAAAAAUAAUAAAAUAAAAUAAAUAAAACGGCUGAAGUAAGAAAAGUUGCUCAAAUUUAAUAUUAGAAUAAAUAGAUAAUUUAGCCGUAUUCCCCGGCAACGGUGCCAAAAAACAUGUUGGGUGCUAAAUACCUAACACGCAAGUGCACGUAUCGCAAACAAGUAGUAAAAGUGGACUCGUGAGAGUCAGAUGUCGAUCCCACAGGGAAUACUCAAAUUAUCUAAUCCUAAGUACCAAAUUCUAACAAUUAUGAUUUUUAUCCAGCCUACGCAAAGUUGUCAAAUUUAAUCAACUAAAUAAUUAAACUAAUUAUGAAAGCAAUAAAACACGAGAAAAUAUCAAUAAAAACGGACCUAGAAUUUUAUCUUCCCUCUAUGCAAGAAUUGCUCACCCAAAACCCCUCAAUUAUGCAAUAUAUGAUUCAUGAUUAUUAACCCGAGACACUAAUUUACUCAUAACCCGCUGUCGCGUGUAUUAUGAGUCUAUUAUUCAUAAACGGUUCACUAUAUGUCUAUGCAAACAAAUUAUGAAUAAAGCAUUAACUAACAAGUCUCGCAAAUGGCUACCUAAGGUGAUAUCUGUAUGUCUACGACACCACAUGCAAUUGACACACUCAUCCGGUGAAAACUACUCGAAGGCUCUUAUACUUACCGUCUAAUUAUCAAAAUAGCUCUGUCGAGUCAAUCCCAAUAAUCACAGAUAAAGCACAUAAAUUGAUCAAGUUCAUGCACUAACAAUCAUAACAAGUAUAAGAAAUAAUCAUAAAAUCAUAAUUGCAUAAUCUCAAGAAAACGGGUUCACCGUCCCCACAUAGGGUUCCAACAAAAUCCUAGAUUAAAAACUUAGCUACUCAUAACGAAGAACAUAAUAAAAGUAAUAAAAGUCAUAGAUUAAGAAAAGAUAGGUGAAAGAAGAAUUAUGAUGAAGAGUUGUCAAUUCUCCGUCUUCGAUUCUUCGUUCUCUCGCUCCUCUCGCUCCAAGGUUGUGUCAAAAGUCCUCUAAUUCGUGCUUGGUUUGGGCUUAAAUAGAUGUCCCAACUUGGUAGAUGAUUUUAGGUUUCCUUGUGUGAUUAAAAGUCCAAAAUUGUCUCCAGCGGGUGUUGGCACGGACGCGCGAGAAUCAGUGCAAUUCUCACACGGCCGCGCGAGAAUCGCUGAAACCUUCUGCCCAAUUUCUGCUAUUGGCACGGCCGUCCCAUUUUUAGGUGUAAAUUUGGGACGGCCGUCCCGUGCCAAUUUCUUCAGAUUUUUGAUUAUUUCACUUUUGGCCCAUAUUUUCUCCAAAAUUGCAGUUUUGACCCCAAACUUUUCCAAUUCUUCAAUUUAUACCUAAAAUAUAAUAAAUAAACUUUUUAAGCACCAAUUAUCGUUAAAUCACACCAAAAGCUCAAAUAAAAA